This 253-nucleotide ribosomal RNA is filed under the name uncultured bacterium. Its description in RNAcentral is "partial 16S ribosomal RNA". It matches the Rfam family "Bacterial small subunit ribosomal RNA", at positions 524 to 776 of the family's 1533-position model. The record is from RNAcentral.
UACGUAGGGGGCAAGCGUUGUCCGGAUUUAUUGGGCGUAAAGAGCGUGUAGGCGGCUUGGUAGGUCCGCUGUGAAAACUCGAGGCUCAACCUCGAGCUGUCGGUGGAAACUGUCUGGCUAGAGUCCGGAAGAGGAGAAUGGAAUUCCUGGUGUAGCGGUGAAAUGCGCAGAUAUCAGGAAGAACACCCGUGGCGAAGGCGGUUCUCUGGGACGGUACUGACGCUGAGACGCGAAAGCGUGGGGAGCGAACAGG